RNAcentral lists this ribosomal RNA (781 nucleotides) under Dactylellina leptospora. Its description in RNAcentral is "eukaryotic LSU rRNA". The stretch from base 234 to 781 matches the Rfam family "Eukaryotic large subunit ribosomal RNA", at positions 1 to 552 of the family's 3401-position model. The record is from RNAcentral. Lineage: Eukaryota; Fungi; Ascomycota; Orbiliomycetes; Orbiliales; Orbiliaceae.
AGUCUUUGACGCACAUUGCGCCCAUUGGUAUUCCAUUGGGCAUGUCUGUUUGAGCGUCAUUACAACCCUCGGUACCAACCGGUUUUGAGCGAGCGCGGGUCCUGACCCGGGCUGGCUUUAAAGUUGUAAGCUCUGCUGGCUGCUCAGCCCAACCAGAACAUAGUAAAACCUACUUGUUCAGCGGUCAGGUUGAAGCGGUACGGCCUGAACAAAACCUACCCAACUCUAAGGUUUGACCUCAGAUCAGAUAAGGAUACCCGCUGAACUUAAGCAUAUCAAUAAGCGGAGGAAAAGAAACCAACAGGGAUUGCCUCAGUAACGGCGAGUGAAGCGGCAAGAGCUCAAAUUUGAAAUCUGGAGCCUUCGGCUUCCGAGUUGUAAUUUGAAGAGGAUGUUUCGGUUGCGGCCUGGGCCUAAGUUCCUUGGAACAGGACGUCAUGGAGGGUGAGAAUCCCGUACAUGGCUGCAGGCUUGCUUCCAUGUGAAGCUCCUUCGAAGAGUCGAGUUGUUUGGGAAUGCAGCUCAAAAUGGGUGGUAAAUUUCAUCUAAAGCUAAAUAUUGGCGGGAGACCGAUAGCGCACAAGUAGAGUGAUCGAAAGAUGAAAAGCACUUUGAAAAGAGAGUUAAACAGUACGUGAAAUUGUUGAAAGGGAAGCGCUUGCAAUCAGACUCGCUUUCGGUUGAUCAACGUUCCUUUUGGUUCGUGCACUCUGCCGUUGGCGGGCCAGCAUCAGUUGAGGCGGUGGGACAAAGGUAGCGGGAAUNUGGCUCCCUCGCGGGA